GUGGGGGGGGAGAGGGAGCCCAGGGAUGGGGGCGGCAGGGGGUGCAGGUGGGGGAGGGCACUGGUGGUGGUGGGGGGUUGAGAGCCCAGGGCUGGGGUGGGGGGCAGCAAAAAACCUAGAGCCGGCCCUGUGUGCAGGCCGGGAGUUGGGCAAGCCCAGCCUGCGUCUCCCGUCUCUCCUUGUUACAGUUCUGCCAUCUGCACCGAACGCCAUGAACUUAGCCCCUGCCCUGCUGACAGACUCGCGUGGUUUGGCUGUUCCUNGCUGCUCCCUCGCGGCAAUGACAGUCCAGGAGGGAGGGGGAAAGCUGGCCAGGUGGCUGGGAGGAGAAGGGUGCCCCCUUUGUAGUCCAUGUGGAGGGCCAGGCCUGCUCUCGCCCAGCGAGCUGCACCGAGUAGCUGCAGCGCCUGUGCGGUCGGACAAAGGCGAUGAGGAUUUCUGCCAUGGGGAUAGCUGUGAGCCUUAGUGGUGCUGGUGCCCCCUGCCCUGGGGUCCCUGUGCCCCCCUGCCCUUGCCCUCCCUUUGGGUAAAAGUCCCAGCGUUGCUGGGAGCAGAGCUGCUGGCUGCCAGGGCAUUGCUGCUGGGCGACUCUAGGCUGCCGCGGUCAGCGACCUUUUUAGAGCACACGGCUCCUUUUUUCCCUGUCUCGGCCCUUCUGCCCCCUCCGGAGGGUUGUACCCUCAGCCCCAUAGCAGAGUCUCCUUAACAGCUGAGGCGUCACUGCCUAGAACCAAUUCCACGCUCGCUGGGGUCCGGGUUUCCCCGCAGCCCUCGGUCCUAGUGAGGUUUGCUGCAGCCUCUGAGCCUGGCUUUUUAUCAGCACUCGCUGGGCUCCUGCGGUGUAUUCCCGCCUGAGGUCAGGCCCCAGGGGCUGUGACAUCACACUCGUCGCCUUGCCAGCCCGCUGUGAUGUCACGCUCAGGCGUUAGGGUUACAGCAAUUCAAUAGAAAGAGUGAACUUUUGAAAGGGGAGCGUGUCCCUGCCCCGGUCCGGCCAGCAGCCAGGCUGCAGCUGGAGCGUUUACCAGGUGCUUUGUAUCUGGCCAGGCCUGGCCCGUCCAGUUGAACAGUGACGUUGUCCCUGUGUCUGAACCAUCCAGCUGCACUUGGAGGGGCCGGCACUGUGCAGCUGCACAACCGAUCUGACCAGCUGGCUGUCCGGCAAUCCCGUUGUCUCUGGCACGCUCAGCAGCUGGGGGCUCCCUGGGCACACAUGAAAUGUUGGGCAGGGAUCAGCCCAGCAGUUCACCAUGGGCCUGUCAUCAGAGCAUCCCACCGGCCGGUGGCAGCUUAAGCCACGUCAGCUAGAGGUGCAGUGCUGCUUUCUACCGGGGCGGGCACGGGGAGCACACGGGCACUGCAGUCCCGAGAGACCUAGGAGAAUAAGGGACAGGAUCUUCCAACCCAACUCAAUUCAGGCAGCAGCCAGUACUGAUGCUAAGGGGUGACGAACGGAAUUCCCAGCAAAGCAGUCCCUGCCGUCCGGCACCUAACCAUCUUGCUGAUUACAGGCAAUUGCCCCUGAGAGCAUCAGCGUUCACAGGCCAGCGCAGCCCCCCCAGUGCCCACCCCCGUCCAUCCCUCACUUAGCACUGUGCAUUAUCAGAGCCUCAGUAAAUCACCUGCAGCCAAGUUUACAGCCAAGCAAUAGGUAGAUGCUCAUCAGACAAAGGCCUUCGCAGGGGUCUUUGGUGCAGUCAUCAACUCGUCUCCCCUUUCCCCCGAGCCAGCACAGCUGUUGCAAUAAGUGCGUGUGUGUCGGGUCUGGGUUGCCAGCAGGGGCCCCUGGGCUGGAUCUGUGCUCCGCACCCAGGUGGCUUUUGUUCUUUCACUUGCGAAGAGGCAGCGUGACUAUGUUUCCUUUUGGCUUCUCAUGGUAAUGACGCGCCGUCAGGUGUAAUGUCCUUUGCGGUUGUGUUUUUACUAGACUAAUAAAACUAGCAUAGUAAAUAGGAAGCUGCUUUGA
Molecule: long non-coding RNA, 1966 nt
Filed under: Chrysemys picta bellii (western painted turtle)
Lineage: Eukaryota; Metazoa; Chordata; Testudines; Emydidae
Description: lncRNA (ENSCPBG00000007584.1)
Source: RNAcentral